RNAcentral lists this unclassified non-coding RNA (304 nucleotides) under uncultured fungus. Its description in RNAcentral is "partial contains 5.8S ribosomal RNA, internal transcribed spacer 2, and large subunit ribosomal RNA". The stretch from base 1 to 52 matches the Rfam family "5.8S ribosomal RNA", at positions 103 to 154 of the family's 154-position model. Lineage: Eukaryota; Fungi. The record is from RNAcentral.
AACGCAUCUUGCGCUCCUUGGUAUUCCGAGGAGCAUGCCUGUUUGAGUGUCAUUUAAUUCCUCAACCACACUAGCUUUUUGAGCUUGCCUUGUGGCUUGGAUGUGGGGCUUUCUUGCGGGCCUUUGUCAAAAGGUCAGCUGCCCUAAAAUGCAUUAGCCGAACCGUUUGCGGUCAGUCACCGGUGUGAUAAUUAUCUACGCCAAAGACAUAAACUGCUCUCUGUUAGUUCAGCUUCUAAUCGUCCGUUUGGACAAUUGUUGAACAUUUGACCUCAAAUCAGGUAGGACUACCCGCUGAACUUAA